This is a non-coding RNA of Budorcas taxicolor (takin), 71 nucleotides long. NCBI's taxonomy places the organism in Eukaryota, Metazoa, Chordata, Mammalia, Artiodactyla, Bovidae. The record is from the annotation of a RefSeq genome assembly.
UCCUUGAUGGUCCAGUGGUUAGGACUCGGAACUUUCAUUGCUGGGCCCAGGUUCAAUCCCUGGUCAGGGAA